CAGUGGCGAACGGGUGAGUAACACGUGGGCAAUCUGCCCUGCACUCUGGGACAACACCGGGAAACCGGUGCUAAUACCGGAUAUGACGCACUCCUGCAUGGGGGUGCGUGGAAAGCUCCGGCGGUGCAGGAUGAGCCCGCGGCCUAUCAGCUUGUUGGUGGGGUGAUGGCCUACCAAGGCGACGACGGGUAGCCGGCCUGAGAGGGCGACCGGCCACACUGGGACUGAGACACGGCCCAGACUCCUACGGGAGGCAGCAGUGGGGAAUAUUGCACAAUGGGCGAAAGCCUGAUGCAGCGACGCCGCGUGAGGGAUGACGGCCUUCGGGUUGUAAACCUCUUUCAGCAGGGAAGAAGCGCAAGUGACGGUACCUGCAGAAGAAGCACCGGCUAACUACGUGCCAGCAGCCGCGGUAAUACGUAGGGUGCGAGCGUUGUCCGGAAUUAUUGGGCGUAAAGAGCUCGUAGGCGGCCUGUCGCGUCGGAUGUGAAAGCCCGGGGCUUAACCCCGGGUCUGCAUUCGAUACGGGCAGCCUAGAGUUCGGUAGGGGAGAUCGGAAUUCCU
This 564-nucleotide ribosomal RNA is filed under the name Streptomyces sp. 334E03. RNAcentral's name for it is "bacterial SSU rRNA". It matches the Rfam family "Bacterial small subunit ribosomal RNA", at positions 93 to 671 of the family's 1533-position model. Lineage: Bacteria; Bacillati; Actinomycetota; Actinomycetes; Kitasatosporales; Streptomycetaceae. RNAcentral also lists the same sequence under 1 other name. The record is from RNAcentral.